UACGUAGGAUGCAAGCGUUGUCCGGAUUUACUGGGCGUAAAGCGCGCGCAGGCGGCAUGGUAAGUAAGGUGUGAAAUCCAUCUGCUCAACGGGUGGGGUGCACUUUAGACUGCCAAGCUUGAGGUCGGUAGAGGGGGGUGGAAUUGCUGGUGUAGCGGUGAAAUGCGUAGAGAUCAGCAGGAACACCCGUGGCGAAGGCGGCCCCCUGGGCCGUACCUGACGCUGAGGCGCGAAGGCUAGGGGAGCGAACGGG
This 253-nucleotide ribosomal RNA is filed under the name uncultured bacterium. RNAcentral's name for it is "partial 16S ribosomal RNA". It matches the Rfam family "Bacterial small subunit ribosomal RNA", at positions 524 to 776 of the family's 1533-position model. The record is from RNAcentral.